This 274-nucleotide ribosomal RNA is filed under the name uncultured bacterium. RNAcentral's name for it is "partial 16S ribosomal RNA". It matches the Rfam family "Bacterial small subunit ribosomal RNA", at positions 523 to 796 of the family's 1533-position model. The record is from RNAcentral.
AUACAGAGGUGGCGAGCGUUGUUCGGAUUUACUGGGCGUAAAGGGUGCGUAGGCGGCGAUACAAGUCAGAGGUGAAAGCUAUGGGCUCAACCCAUAAACUGCCUUUGAAACUGUAUUGCUUGAGUAUUGCAGAGGAAAGUGGAAUUCAUGGUGUAGCGGUGAAAUGCGUAGAUAUCAUGGAGAACACCUAUGGCGAAGGCAGCUUUCUGGGCAAAUACUGACGCUGAGGCGCGAAAGCUAGGGUAGCGAACAGGAUUAGAAACCCCAGUAGUCC